Molecule: ribosomal RNA, 501 nt
Filed under: uncultured bacterium
Lineage: Bacteria
Description: partial 16S ribosomal RNA
Rfam family: Bacterial small subunit ribosomal RNA
Source: RNAcentral
AUUGAACGCUGGCGGCAGGCUUAACACAUGCAAGUCGAGCGGGGGAAGGUAGCUUGCUACCGGACCUAGCGGCGGACGGGUGAGUAAUGCUUAGGAAUCUGCCUAUUAGUGGGGGACAACAUCUCGAAAGGGAUGCUAAUACCGCAUACGUCCUACGGGAGAAAGCAGGGGAUCUUCGGACCUUGCGCUAAUAGAUGAGCCUAAGUCAGAUUAGCUAGUUGGUUGGGUAAAGGCCUACCAAGGCGACGAUCUGUAGCGGGUCUGAGAGGAUGAGCCGGCAAACUGGGACUGAGACACGGGCCAGAAUCCUACGGGAGGCAGCAGUGGGGAAUAUUGGACAAUGGGGGGAACCCUGAUCUAGCCAUGCCGCGUGUGUGAAGAAGGCCUUAUGGUUGUAAAGCACUUUAAGCGAGGAGGAGGCUACUUUAGUUAAUACCUAGAGAUAGUGGACGUUACUCGCAGAAUAAGCACCGGCUAACUCUGUGCCAGCCGCCGCCGUAA